CACCGCGUGGCUGUGAGAAUUCAGUGCGUGCUGAGCAAAUGCAUCAGAAGCAAAAAAAAAAAAAAAAAAAAAAAAAAACGAUGCAGGGAACAGAACGCCAGUAGUAAACAGAGAAACCAGGAAAGGACAGAAGGGAUGGUCUGAAUGUGAAACACCCGUCUGACUAAUCCAAAACCCCACAGGGCACGUAUCAGCACACUGUCUAUAUUUUUCUCUGGGAAUACGUGAGUAAAGCAGAAUAUUUUAAUUUUCUUACUUGGACACAAACAGCCUAGCUUAACAGCGUGGCUCAGCGCAUGCACACGGCUGCCAUUGGUGGAGAACUAUUGUUUGUGUCAGUUUUGACCAAUCGGCGCUCAGGAGUGGCACGUGAACACCGCGUGGCAAAUGGAUUAGCUCAUGCACAGGAAGUGAAAAGAAGACGGAGAGAACAGAACGUUAGUGAACAGAGAAACCAGGAAAGGACAGAAGGGAUAGUCUGAAUGUGAAACACCCGUCUGCCUAAGCCAAAACCCCGCAGGGCAUCAUUCAUUAUCAUUGUGCUUACAGUUCUCGUGACAUUUUAACAAACAAACAACAACA
Cynoglossus semilaevis (tongue sole) is the source of this 582-nucleotide long non-coding RNA. RefSeq lists it as uncharacterized. Lineage: Eukaryota; Metazoa; Chordata; Actinopteri; Pleuronectiformes; Cynoglossidae. The record is from RefSeq and is a predicted model, not a curated record. The transcript is spliced from 2 exons.